This 355-nucleotide unclassified non-coding RNA is filed under the name soil metagenome. RNAcentral's name for it is "partial contains 5.8S ribosomal RNA, internal transcribed spacer 2, and large subunit ribosomal RNA". The stretch from base 1 to 120 matches the Rfam family "5.8S ribosomal RNA", at positions 35 to 154 of the family's 154-position model. The record is from RNAcentral.
GAUGAAGAACGUAGCGAAAUGCGAUAAGUAGUGUGAAUUGCAGAAUUCAGUGAAUCAUCGAAUCUUUGAACGCACAUUGCGCCUUCUAGUAUUCUGGGAGGCAUGCCUAUUUGAGCGUCAUUAAACCUCUCUCAAGUAUGAUUACUUGGAUGUGAAGGAAGAGUACCUUAAACUUAAGGAGUGUUCUCCUUUGAAAUUGAUUAGCAGAUGGUAAUGUUAUUAAAUCCCUGAUGUUGUAAGAAAUAACAGUGGUUUUGUAGACUAUUAUCUAGCUUUAAAUUAUAAUUUUUAUUAUGGUUGACCUCAAAUCAGGUAAGGAUACCCGCUGAACUUAAGCAUAUCAAUAAGCGGAGGA